Molecule: ribosomal RNA, 440 nt
Filed under: uncultured bacterium
Lineage: Bacteria
Description: partial 16S ribosomal RNA
Rfam family: Bacterial small subunit ribosomal RNA
Source: RNAcentral
CCUACGGGAGUCAGCAGUAGGGAAUAUUGCUCAAUGGGGGAAACCCUGAAGCAGCAACGCCGCGUGGAGGAUGAAGGUUUUCGGAUUGUAAACUCCUUUUGUUAGAGAAGAUAAUGACGUUAUCUAACGAAUAAGCACCGGCUACCUCCGUGCCAGCAGCCGCGGUAAUACGGAGGGUGCAAGCGUUACUCGGAAUCACUGGGCGUAAAGAGCGCGUAGGAGGGAUAGCAAGUCAGAUGUGAAAUCCUAUGGCCUAACCAUAGAACUGCAUUUGAAACUGUUAUUCUAGAGUAGGGGAGAGGUAGGUGGAAUUCUUGGUGGAGGGGUAAAAUCCGUAGAGAUCAAGAGGAAUACUCAUUGCGAAGGCGACCUGCUAGAACAUAACUGACGCUGAUGCGCGAAAGCGUGGGGAGCAAACAGGAUUAGAUACCCCUGUAGUC